GCCCGGCUAGCUCAGAUGGUAGAGCAUGGGACUUUUAAUCCCAGGGCCGUGGGUUCAAGUCCCACGUCGGGCG
This 73-nucleotide transfer RNA is filed under the name Anopheles sinensis. Its description in RNAcentral is "tRNA tRNA-Lys". It matches the Rfam family "tRNA". From Rfam's summary of the family: Transfer RNA (tRNA) molecules are approximately 80 nucleotides in length. The record is from RNAcentral. Lineage: Eukaryota; Metazoa; Arthropoda; Insecta; Diptera; Culicidae.